Molecule: long non-coding RNA, 1128 nt
Organism: Octopus bimaculoides (California two-spot octopus)
Lineage: Eukaryota; Metazoa; Mollusca; Cephalopoda; Octopoda; Octopodidae
Source: RefSeq, a predicted model, not a curated record
GGAGAGGUGGGGUUUUGGCGGAUGGGACAGACAUGGUGGAAUCCUAUCUUGACGAAUUUCUUUGGCGAGAACAAUAUGGAAGAACUGGAAAUGAUUGUUUUGAAAACAUUCUGAAGCAGUCACUGGACUGCAGCCAUGAAAAAAACCCUGCUUCGAAGGGUCUUAAUUGAACAAAUCAACCACAAUUCUGUUGACCAAAUACACUCACAAAGCUUUGGUUGUCCUGAGAUUAUAGUAGAAGACAUUUGCUCAAUGUGCCAUGCAGUGAGACUGAACCUGGAACUAUGUGGUUGGGAAGCAAACUUCUUAUCACACAGCCACACUAUACACACAAGACACAUACGCAUGCCACAAUGUACAUCAUAAUUAGUCUCAAUAAGGUAGUUUUUGUAAAAAAUGCUCAACAAAUGUCUAAAUGAAUUAUUUAAUUACUUGUGAUUUUGACGUGAGAGAGUCAACUUUCGAUAUGGGAUAUGGAAAAUACAGACAUACAAACAUAACGGUGUAGAUAUUUACAGAUUAUCUGUGGAAAAUGUCUAGAAUACUAUUGGAAAAAAUUAAAAGGAGAAAAACACAUUUCAUGAAUUACUUCUUUUUUUUCCCCAUCUAUUUUAGAUGUGCUGUGCGUGAGAAGACCCGGCAAGCCAAGUAAGAUCGUUGCCAGUGCCCCUGGACUGGUUCUUGUGCGGGUGGCACAUGAGAUGCACCAUUUUGAGCGUGGCCGUUGCCAGUACCGCCUGACUGGCUCCCGUAGGAUUUUCGAGCGAGAUCGUUGCCAGUGCCCCUGGACUGGCUUGUGCGGGUGGCACAUAAAAGACACCAUUUCGAGCGUGGCCGUUUUCGUGCGGGUGACACGUAAAAGCACCCACUACACUCUGAGUGGUUGGCGUUAGGAAGGGCAUCCAGCUGUAGAAACUCUGCCAAAUCAGACUGGAGCCUGGUGUUGCCAUCCGGUUUCACCAGUCCUCAGUCAAAUCGUCCAACCCAUGCUAGCAUGGAAAGCGGACGUUAAACGAUGAUGAUGAUGAUUUUAGACUUUCAUUUGUAUAUAUCUAUUUCCAGGUGAAUACAUAUAUAUAUAAAUAUAUAUGUAAAAAAAGGGUAAAAACCCCCUUCAGUCAUGAAUGA